Long non-coding RNA from Magnolia sinica, 302 nucleotides. RefSeq lists it as uncharacterized. NCBI's taxonomy places the organism in Eukaryota, Viridiplantae, Streptophyta, Magnoliopsida, Magnoliales, Magnoliaceae. The transcript has 2 exons. The record is from RefSeq and is a predicted model, not a curated record.
AGGAUCCAAGUCUAUGGGCAUGCGCUCUUCCUAAUAACAUUGGAAGGUGAGUCGAUAAAUAAGGUAGCACAGGUGGCUUAAGUGAUUUUCAAGUUCAGGCUGAUGAGGAGCCGGGUUCAACUGUCAGGGUUGCAUGACUGUAUCUACCUUGAGAAGCUGAGGGGUCUUGCGGCUCAAAUUUACUUGCAUUCUACUAUUUCUCAUGUAUUGGAUCAUGUAAUUCUUGUAUUUGUUAAUUUUGGAGACAUUGAUUUGUAUAAGUCAUUAUGGGCAACCUCUUGUAUACUCUAAAUGAAAUUUGA